ACCAACCCCUCCCCCUCUGUAAUUUUGUACCCUGUAGUCAUGCGGAGGAAGCAAGAGAAAGGGAGGGCUCUGUAGUGCCUGCCAGGUCUCAAAGUUUUACUAUGAGGGCUUAAGGCUACAUUAAAUGAGCCAAGCAUGUUAUUUUCCUUGGAAUACAUUCAAGAAACUCUUCCAAGGAGGGAAAGAAAAGGCAGCCGUCACGUUGUUGCAGCACUUUUCAUCAAACAUUAACUGCUUCCUCUAUAGAACUGAUCUAUUCAAGGAGAGCGAAGCUCUGCUGCAAUGAUCCAGGAUGGGAAGGGCCAAGGAGGAGGAAAGAGUGAAUGGACUAGCAGAAGGUGACAUACCUUCCAACAUUUCACAGGCUUAAUAGAUGCUGCAUAUGUACAAGUAAGAUAUUGAUGAAAGAAACUAUGAAAUCACAAUCAUUGGACAAAUGGACUAUGCUGCCCAGUGAGAACACUGAGUUCUUUAGUUCAACAAGGUGCAGAGGAAUCUCAAAUUCCA
Sceloporus undulatus (fence lizard) is the source of this 507-nucleotide long non-coding RNA. RefSeq lists it as uncharacterized. The transcript has 3 exons. The record is from RefSeq and is a predicted model, not a curated record. Lineage: Eukaryota; Metazoa; Chordata; Lepidosauria; Squamata; Phrynosomatidae.